RNAcentral lists this ribosomal RNA (334 nucleotides) under uncultured eukaryote. Its description in RNAcentral is "partial 18S ribosomal RNA". It matches the Rfam family "Eukaryotic small subunit ribosomal RNA", at positions 1470 to 1796 of the family's 1831-position model. The record is from RNAcentral.
CCCUUAGAUGUCCGGGGCCGCACGCGCGCUACACUGAAGGAAUCAGCGUGGCUUUCUCCCUGACCCGAAAGGGUUGGGAAACCCGUUGAAUCUCCUUCGUGAUAGGGAUUGGGGCUUGAAAUUGUUCCCCAUGAAAGAGGAAUUCCCAGUAAGCGCGAGUCAUAAGCUCGCGUUGAUUACGUCCCUGCCCUUUGUACACACCGCCCGUCGCUACUACCGAUUGAACGGUUUAGUGAGGGCCUCGGAUUGGUCUCGGCCCGCUCUUUACCGGGCGGCGCCGUUGGUCGAGAAGACGCUCGAACUUGAUCGUUUAGAGGAAGUAAAAGUCGUAACA